CGCGUAGGCGGCUUUAUAAGUCAGAUGUGAAAGCCCACGGCUUAACUGUGGAAGUGCAUUUGAAACUGUGAAGCUUGAGUAUCGGAGGGGAGUGUGGAAUUCCCGGUGUAGAGGUGAAAUUCGUAGAGAUCGGGAGGAACACCAGUGGCGAAGGCGGCCUCCUGGGUCGCACCUGACGCUCAGACGCGAAAGCUAGGGGAGCGAACG
Molecule: ribosomal RNA, 207 nt
Filed under: uncultured bacterium
Lineage: Bacteria
Description: partial 16S ribosomal RNA
Rfam family: Bacterial small subunit ribosomal RNA
Source: RNAcentral